Molecule: long non-coding RNA, 846 nt
Filed under: Equus caballus (horse)
Lineage: Eukaryota; Metazoa; Chordata; Mammalia; Perissodactyla; Equidae
Description: lncRNA (ENSECAG00000060039.1)
Source: RNAcentral
CUAAGCCCAUCAACCAGGCAGUCUAGUGAGAGGAAACGCAGCGGCGAGGCCGAUGGCUCCCACUGGCGAGAAGAACUGAAAAUAAAGGAAUACUACAGGAAGUGGGGGCAGUGGAUUAAAAUGUCACAACUGGAAAGCAGGAUGCUGAAUCUUGAGUUACGUGUUGAGAGAAGAGAAAGAGAAGGAGGAACUGAGGAGGAGCCAGCCAAGGCGGGGGUCUGCUGAGCUGGCGGAAUGUGGCAGGGCUGGGACGCUACAGAAGUAAAAGUGAUACUAAGUGACAAGAACAAGCAGUUGGAAAAAGUCUGUCUUAAAAGGAGGUUUGCAACAUACAAGCUUACAAUUACUAACUGGAGAGGAAGGAAGGGCCCUUCUUGACCUCUGAAAGGCCCUGACCUGGCUUCAACUCUCAGCUGCUCACUCAGAUUUUGUCCCCCACAUAUUGACACAUGUCCUAAUGAAGUCUGUGGAUGCAGAGAAGGGAGGAAGAAAUAACAAAAUUCUAUAGAAGACGAACAGAAGCUAUUUCUUCAUUAAGCAGUGACAUCAAAAUCUAUCACAUCAGUAUUGAAAAGCACCAGGUGACAUUGUGCAUUCAGGCUCCUAAGGCUGCUUCUGAAUGUGUCUACUGAAUACCAGAGAACUGUGAUGCAGCAGAGACCAAGCUGACCGCCAGCCUUGUACCAGCUCGUAAAGACGGAAAUGAGUCAUCCAUUUUUCACCCACACUCUUGAAACUAAACCUGAAAGGGAAAAAGUUUAAUGCAACAGACAACUCCAUCUUGUUUAUUGCCCUGUCCACAUCUGCUAGAGCAGUGCCUGGAACGUGCAGGACAGCAGGAACAAG